GUCUAUGGCCAUGCCACCCUGAACAUGUCUGAUCUCGGAAGCUAAGCAGGGUUAGGCCUAGUUAGUACUUGGAUGGGAGACCACCUAGGAAGACCAGGUGCUUAUAGGCA
RNAcentral lists this ribosomal RNA (110 nucleotides) under Pteropus alecto (black flying fox). The record is from RNAcentral. Lineage: Eukaryota; Metazoa; Chordata; Mammalia; Chiroptera; Pteropodidae.